CUCCUAAAAACAAUACCGCCAAAAACACUAAAAUAUUUACCCUCCAGCCCCCGGUCACUCCUCGUAUCUCUCCCCUCUCCUCCUCUUCCCCCACUCCCCAUUUCUCCAACCCUAGCCUCACCGCCGUCGUCUCCUUCCUCUCCCGCGAGCUGUGCCGUAACUGCCAUCAAUCACCGCCUCCUCUCUGUACCCUCUCCUCCUAUUCCCCCUACCCAUUUCUCCAACCGUAGCCUCAUUGCCGCCGCCAUCAAACGCCGCA
RNAcentral lists this long non-coding RNA (259 nucleotides) under Sorghum bicolor (sorghum). RNAcentral describes it as "long non-coding RNA (SBIC_LNC012557)". Lineage: Eukaryota; Viridiplantae; Streptophyta; Magnoliopsida; Poales; Poaceae. The record is from RNAcentral.